Molecule: ribosomal RNA, 93 nt
Filed under: Bifidobacterium longum
Lineage: Bacteria; Bacillati; Actinomycetota; Actinomycetes; Bifidobacteriales; Bifidobacteriaceae
Source: RNAcentral
GCCCAGGUGAGACGCCCGGUCCCAUUCCGAACCCGGAAGCUAAGGCCUGGCACGGCGAUGGUACUGCACCCGACAGGGUGUGGGAGAGUAGCA